UGGCAGUAGGGAGGGGGCCGAUACACUGUAAGAGAUGUAGUCUGAGGUCUCACAGUGAACCGGUCUCUUUUCCUGCUGCUUC
This 82-nucleotide microRNA precursor is filed under the name Salmo salar (Atlantic salmon). RNAcentral's name for it is "mir-128 microRNA precursor family". It matches the Rfam family "mir-128 microRNA precursor family". Lineage: Eukaryota; Metazoa; Chordata; Actinopteri; Salmoniformes; Salmonidae. The record is from Rfam by way of RNAcentral.